Non-coding RNA from Arachis ipaensis, 918 nucleotides. The record is from RefSeq and is a predicted model, not a curated record. NCBI's taxonomy places the organism in Eukaryota, Viridiplantae, Streptophyta, Magnoliopsida, Fabales, Fabaceae.
AAAAACCCUAAUUUCCCUUUCCCCAAACCCAGCAGCAUACACACACGUACCCCCAACUUGUUAACUCCUCAGUGAGCCACGCCAUCCUCUCCUCACCAUUCACUCACUCUCACUGGCUCUUGCCUCACCCAUCACCCUCUUUCAGUCCUAAGUCCUAACGCACAGCAACAGAAAUCAAAAGAAAGAAAGAAAAGAGAGAGAGAUCCGAGAAUGAGGCUGCGACGGGGAAGAGAGAAGAGAGGAGGGGAAGCUGCUGUCAAGCCGUCGCGUCCAGCUCGCCGUUGCGCCGCCAGCACACCACGUCACCGUCGGGAGUAGAACCGCGAGAGAGGAACGCGAGCCCCUGGCUGAGGAGAGGAGUCCGACACCGUCGCCGAAGCUUUGUCAUUGACACUGAGCUUCCGCCGCUGUCGUGCCUUGAACGCCGUGUGGUGGAUGCCGGCGCUGCUGUCUGGAUCAUUGCGGUCAGAGCUGCCGCUGAAGGAAGGCCGUUCAGUCACCCUCAUCAAGUUGCAUGUGGCUGUUAGAGCUCCUUGUCUCUGCUCUAAUCGUCGGAAGUCACCGACGAAGUUGUGGUCGCCCCAUUCCACUAUUCUUUUUUCAUGGUUGUUGAAAACCUUGAGAUAUUGAUGUAUUAGGGUUGUGUAAAUGCCACUGCAAAUUGUUCGAUGAUAUUGCUAUUGUGGAGAGUUGUUGGCGAGGCUAAUGCCGCUGCUGUUGCUAAUCCGGUUUGAGGCUGUUGCUACUGCUGCGAGUUAGAACGAAGUUGGAGUCACGCCUAACCUUGUGGGUUUCGACUAACUGAGUGACACAGGUUCGGGGACUCGGUGUGAAGCUGCGGGCGAUUAUGAGUUUUAUUUAAGUUUGUGUUGAGUUGUUUUCAUAGAAUUCCCUCGCCUUUGUUAUUUAAGAUUUUAU